GCGCGGGUGGCGGAAUUGGUAGACGCGCAAGGUUGAGGGCCUUGUGGCCGCAAGGCUGUGGGGGUUCGAUUCCCCCCUCGCGCA
Molecule: transfer RNA, 84 nt
Filed under: Deltaproteobacteria bacterium
Lineage: Bacteria; Pseudomonadati; Myxococcota; Myxococcia
Also listed under: 2 other names
Description: tRNA-Leu
Rfam family: tRNA
About the family: Transfer RNA (tRNA) molecules are approximately 80 nucleotides in length. Their secondary structure includes four short double-helical elements and three loops (D, anti-codon, and T loops).
Source: RNAcentral